CCAGGAGAGGCCAGGAGAGGCCAGGCCAGGCAACACAAGGCAAGGCAAGGCAAGGCAAGGCCAGGAGAGGCCAGGCCAGGCAACACAAGGCAAGGCAAGGCAAGGCAAGGCCAGGCAAGUCAUGGCGAUGCCUGGCAAUGCCAGGCCAGGCAAGGCCAGGACAGGCAAGGCAAGGCCAGGCAAGGCAAGGCACAGCCAUGCAAUGCAAGGCAAGUCAAGUCAAGUCCAGGCAAGACCAGGCAUAGUAUGGCAAGGCAAGGCAAAGCCAGUCAAGGCCAGGAAAGGCAAAGCAAGGCAAGGCAGGCAAUGUGAGGAAUGACAAGGUAAGGCCAGGCAGGGCAAGGCAAGGCCAGGCCAGGCAAGGCUAGGAAAGGCAAAGCCAGGCAAGGCAAGGAAAUUCAAGGCCAGGCAAGGCAAGGCAAGGCCAGGCCUGGCACGACAAGGCAAGGCAAGGACUGUUGCGGACCCCCAAGGGUUGUAAACCGGAAUCUAGUCCGUUCGCUGGCUGAGCUGCAUGGGGAGUGAUGUCAUGACCCAAUAUGAGUGCAUCAGAGUCUCCGUUUAUUAUCCGUUACUUACACAUGUAUAUAGAUCGUGACGAACGUGCGUCAGCGUGUAAUUGGUUGAAGCAUAGUGAAAAGCCCCCUGCCUAAGAAUACUAUUGGUCAUGCAUGUUUUCAUACCAUUCCAAUGUCUUAAUCCCUUCCCAGGCUAGCUACCCCCUUAUCUUAACUGAAGCCUCAGUUUGUCUACCUGCUUUGACAGCUUCAAGGUCUCAUAGCCUGGGUUGUGCACAUAGCACCCGAGCUCACAGCCGUUAUAACGAGCUAGUACUUUUCCAUCUGUAUCUCCUGCCAAUUGUUAGGCCUGUUCUGCUCAUACAACUGUUCAAGAGACUCAUGACCCCCUCAGCUGUGGAGCCAUCCCUCAACAACUCCCCCCUUUUUCUUUUUGUACGAGCAUGACACCUUGUGUGAGCCUUUUCACACCGCGCAUUAUGCAACUAUAAGCAAUACGAAGUACAAUUAGAAGAGUAGUAAUAGUCAGUAGCCAGCUUAAGGCUUUCGUAACAAGCCCAAGUAGCCAUGACGAUAGGCCGCCAAAUAGAUUGCCUAGCCAGUCAUCAAGCAGAUUCUUAUUUGUAUGCACCUUUUGAGUAUUCUCCUUCAGCCAUUGCAAUUGUUUAUGUACAGAAUCACUGUGGUCUGAUAAGUUAAAACAGCACAUCAAUCACUAUCUAUAAGAAUACACUAGAUUUAUGUUACACAUUUCUACAAAGCAUUCCUUGUCAGUAAACUAACAGUAAAGACUACACAGCACACCAGUAUUAACUACAGUUUCAGUAUCCCGAUGAAUAAAAUACCACAGUCCCCACUCUGGAUCAAUCACUGUACCCGACCCAUACAAUUAGUGCGCUUCUAAUUCUCG
Molecule: long non-coding RNA, 1428 nt
Organism: Gallus gallus (chicken)
Lineage: Eukaryota; Metazoa; Chordata; Aves; Galliformes; Phasianidae
Source: Ensembl